This 258-nucleotide ribosomal RNA is filed under the name uncultured bacterium. Its description in RNAcentral is "partial 16S ribosomal RNA". It matches the Rfam family "Bacterial small subunit ribosomal RNA", at positions 96 to 354 of the family's 1533-position model. The record is from RNAcentral.
CGGCGGACGGGUGAGUAACGCGUGGGUAACCUGCCCCAUACCGGGGGAUAACACUUAGAAAUAGGUGCUAAUACCGCAUAAGCGCACAGCUUCGCAUGAAGCGGUGUGAAAAACUCUGGUGGUAUACGAUGGUUCCGCGUCUGAUUAGCUAGUUGGUGGGGUAAUGGCCUACCAAGGCAACGAUCAGUAGCCGGCCUGAGAGGGUGAACGGCCACAUUGGGACUGAGACACGGCCCAAACUCCUACGGAAGGCAGCAG